ACUCUCUGAUCCUCUUGAGGUAGAUUGCGUCUUCUGCCCCACAAAAGGAGUGAGCUCACCACGGAUCAGGCUGAGUGUGUCUCUCCCUCCCCUGGCAGUCCUCCCAGAUUACAGCAUGACCCUCAGCUAUGAGUCACCUCUUUUCUCACAAACCCAGACGCUGUACAGAGCAGGCAGUUGCUCAUCUGCGCCAAUGCUGAGAAUUUACUGCGGCAAACUAGGAAAGAGAAGAUUUUCGUCUGACUGCUUUAUUAACAUGGGUCUGAAACCAUUCCUGAACAAAAAGCAAGCAGGCCAUGCCACAACUAAGACCAGCAUACUGAGUUUCCUGGGGUGGAAAAAUCAUGGACAAAUCAGGUGUUGAAAUGAAAGCUGAAUCCGUACCUUAACUGAAACCUUUGCAAAUAAUACAACGAACACAAAGGAGAGAACAAUUUAGAUUUUUGUAAAGAUUUUUUGUACUUAUUUUUUGUGUGGUAUAUUUGAUUUCUCAGAUUUUUUUUUCUUUUUACUCCUGAAAAACAUGGUUGUACUUGCCUAAACAAACUAGUUAGACUUGAGAAAAUAUUCAGAGUAAAAUUUAAAUUUAGUUGAAACUUGCUUGGCUUCAGGUUUCUUUACAGUCUCUAAGCUCAGCCCUGGUUCACUGGGAGGUUUGUGAAAGACCAUGAACUUUUACAGGGAACAUGGAUUGAUUUAUGAGUCUGCCUGAAAAUCCAUGUGAAAUUUGCCUUUCGCAUGACCACGAUGCAAAAAUAUCUUCUUUCCCCCUCAACCCCUUCCUGCGGUACUGGAUAAACUCUGAUGUGUUUUAUCUCCUGUUUCUGCACUGAGUCUUCCCAGCACAGGCAACAUCUUGCUCGUUUCUUUAUAAA
This 875-nucleotide long non-coding RNA is filed under the name Junco hyemalis (dark-eyed junco). Its description in RNAcentral is "lncRNA (ENSJHYG00000015204.1)". Lineage: Eukaryota; Metazoa; Chordata; Aves; Passeriformes; Passerellidae. The record is from RNAcentral.